This 345-nucleotide RNase P RNA is filed under the name Candidatus Peregrinibacteria bacterium. Its description in RNAcentral is "RNase P RNA component class A". It matches the Rfam family "Bacterial RNase P class A". From Rfam's summary of the family: Ribonuclease P (RNase P) is a ubiquitous endoribonuclease, found in archaea, bacteria and eukarya as well as chloroplasts and mitochondria. Its best characterised activity is the generation of mature 5'-ends of tRNAs by cleaving the 5'-leader elements of precursor-tRNAs. The record is from RNAcentral. Lineage: Bacteria; Candidatus Peregrinibacteriota.
AAAGCUCCUGAGUGAUCGCAUCCAUUGGUUUUAAACCCAGAGGAUGAGGAAAGUCCGAGCAACAUUGCCAGGAAGGUCGCUAACGGCGACCGUAGCCCGAUCUAAAAAACGGGCUAUAGGGAAAGUGCCGCAGAGACGACUAAUGUGAAACGCCCCCUCUGCAUAUGGGGCGCCCCAUCGUGAGGUGGAUGGCGUGGUAAACCCCUUCUGUUGCAAGGUGAGGAUGGAGAUUGGGAAUUAGAGCCGGCAUGCUCCCCUUUCGCUCACCGCUGGAGCCACGCAGCAAUGCGCGGCCAAGAGAGAUGAUCACCUAGACAGAACUCGGCUUAUGAGGGAGCUUUUUUA